AUUUGUUAUAGUCUAGUUGGUUAGGAUAUUUGGUUCGCAUCCAAAAAGACCUGAGUUCAAUUCCCAACGAUACACAAACG
Molecule: transfer RNA, 80 nt
Filed under: Rosa chinensis
Lineage: Eukaryota; Viridiplantae; Streptophyta; Magnoliopsida; Rosales; Rosaceae
Description: tRNA RchiOBHm_Chr5g0048651
Rfam family: tRNA
About the family: Transfer RNA (tRNA) molecules are approximately 80 nucleotides in length. Their secondary structure includes four short double-helical elements and three loops (D, anti-codon, and T loops).
Source: RNAcentral